UACGGAGGGUGCAAACGUUGCUCGGAAUCAUUGGGCGUAAAGCGCACGUAGGCGGAUUGUUAAGUCGGGGGUGAAAUCCUGGAGCUCAACUCCAGAACUGCCUUCGAUACUGGCGAUCUCGAGUCCGGGAGAGGUGAGUGGAACUGCGAGUGUAGAGGUGAAAUUCGUAGAUAUUCGCAAGAACACCAGUGGCGAAGGCGGCUCACUGGCCCGGUACUGACGCUGAGGUGCGAAAGCGUGGGGAGCAAACAGG
This 253-nucleotide ribosomal RNA is filed under the name uncultured bacterium. RNAcentral describes it as "partial 16S ribosomal RNA". It matches the Rfam family "Bacterial small subunit ribosomal RNA", at positions 524 to 776 of the family's 1533-position model. The record is from RNAcentral.